UACGAAGGGGGCUAGCGUUGCUCGGAAUCACUGGGCGUAAAGCGCACGUAGGCGGAUUGCUAAGUCAGGGGUGAAAUCCUGGAGCUCAACUCCAGAACUGCCCUUGAUACUGGCGGUCUCGAGUUCGGGAGAGGUGAGUGGAACUGCGAGUGUAGAGGUGAAAUUCGUAGAUAUUCGCAAGAACACCAGUGGCGAAGGCGGCUCACUGGCCCGGUACUGACGCUGAGGUGCGAAAGCGUGGGGAGCAAACAGG
Molecule: ribosomal RNA, 253 nt
Filed under: uncultured bacterium
Lineage: Bacteria
Description: partial 16S ribosomal RNA
Rfam family: Bacterial small subunit ribosomal RNA
Source: RNAcentral